This 683-nucleotide ribosomal RNA is filed under the name Inocybe pusio. RNAcentral's name for it is "eukaryotic LSU rRNA". It matches the Rfam family "Eukaryotic large subunit ribosomal RNA", at positions 1 to 653 of the family's 3401-position model. The record is from RNAcentral. Lineage: Eukaryota; Fungi; Basidiomycota; Agaricomycetes; Agaricales; Inocybaceae.
UUGACCUCAAAUCAGGUAGGACUACCCGCUGAACUUAAGCAUAUCAAUAAGCGGAGGAAAAGAAACUAACAAGGAUUCCCCUAGUAACUGCGAGUGAAGCGGGAAAAGCUCAAAUUUGAAAUCUGGCAGUCCUUUGACUGUCCGAGUUGUAAUCUAGAGAAGUGCUACCUGUGCUGGACCGUGUACAAGUCUCCUGGAAUGGAGCAUCAUAGAGGGUGAGAAUCCCGUCUUUGACAUGGACUGCCUGUACAUUAUGGUGCGCUCUCAAAGAGUCGAGUUGUUUGGGAAUGCAGCUCAAAAUGGGUGGUAAAUGCCAUCUAAAGCUAAAUAUUGGCGAGAGACCGAUAGCGAACAAGUACCGUGAGGGAAAGAUGAAAAGAACUUUGGAAAGAGAGUUAAACAGUACGUGAAAUUGCUGAAAGGGAAACGCUUGAAGUCAGUCGCGUCGACUAGAAAUCAACCUUUGCUUCUGCUUGGUGUACUUUCUGGUUUCGAUGGGUCAGCAUCAAUUUUGACCGCUGGAUAAAGUCUUUGGGAAUGUGGCAUCUUAGGAUGUGUUAUAGCCCAUUGUCGUAUACGGUGGUUGGGAUUGAGGAACUCAGCACGCUCUGCAAAGGGACACGGGUGUUUUUGACCACGUUUCGUGCUUAGGAUGCUGGCAUAAUGGCUUUAAUCGACCCGUC